Molecule: transfer RNA, 71 nt
Filed under: Viburnum brachybotryum
Lineage: Eukaryota; Viridiplantae; Streptophyta; Magnoliopsida; Dipsacales; Adoxaceae
Also listed under: 1 other name
Description: tRNA-Gln
Rfam family: tRNA
About the family: Transfer RNA (tRNA) molecules are approximately 80 nucleotides in length. Their secondary structure includes four short double-helical elements and three loops (D, anti-codon, and T loops). Further hydrogen bonds mediate the characteristic L-shaped molecular structure. tRNAs have two regions of fundamental functional importance: the anti-codon, which is responsible for specific mRNA codon recognition, and the 3' end, to which the tRNAs corresponding amino acid is attached (by aminoacyl-tRNA synthetases). tRNAs cope with the degeneracy of the genetic code in two manners: having more than one tRNA (with a specific anti-codon) for a particular amino acid; and 'wobble' base-pairing, i.e. permitting non-standard base-pairing at the 3rd anti-codon position.
Source: RNAcentral
GGGGCGUAGCCAAGUGGUAAGGCAACGGGUUUUGGUCCCGCUAUUCGGAGGUUCGAAUCCUUCCGUCCCAG